This is a non-coding RNA of Lolium perenne, 370 nucleotides long. The record is from RefSeq and is a predicted model, not a curated record. NCBI's taxonomy places the organism in Eukaryota, Viridiplantae, Streptophyta, Magnoliopsida, Poales, Poaceae.
ACGUCUGACGACAACAUGAAGCAAGACCACUAAGAUCCAGGAUGACAUGAUCCGAAGUUGUGGGACGAUCUCUGAUGAUCAGGCAGCAACAUGAAGCUAGACUAUUCAGUCUCAACCUGGCAAUGCUCAGUGUUAUGGAGGUAUUGGCCAGGAAGCCGCGGACAGCUGAGGGAUGUACACCGUGUGAUUCUAAUGACCCAACUGGACACGUAUCAGACUCUACAUAGCCUUGCGUAGGCGUUUUUGCUUCAGUUCUUUUUAUUUUCUUCUUGCUGUUACUUUGAGAGUUGUACUUGCACUACUUCAGUUCCUUCAUCAGAAAAAAAAGAUAUGUCCAUCAUUUGCAGAGAAAAAAAGUUCUGCCAAUUUC